CUGAAAGGAGGGAUGGAGCAAAUUUGAAGACAACAUGCUGGCUGAAGAGACAGAAAAUAGAAACUGUUACCCAACCAACAAGGAACCCAAAAAAAACACUGGAGCAACAGCUGACAAGAGGCCAAAUGAGCAGAAAAAAACAGACAAUAAGAGGAAAAUGGCAGCAGUGAAGAAAGAAACAAACUCAGCUGUGGAUGGACUAAAAGACGGGACAGUUUUCUUCAGAGUGGAGUCAUUCUUACCAUCAACUUUGUGGGAAACCACGACUACAAAGAAAAAUAUGGUGAGUAGAAAAUCUUACAGUGAUAUCAUAUUAUAGUGUAUCUCAUUUUCUUACAUUUAUAUGUUAGUAAAUUCUGUUGGAUGUGGAGAGAAACUUGUAAAGUUCAUUUUGAGUGUGAGAAAAGUCAACACAUAAGCUGUUAUUGUCCCUCAUCAGCAAGAGAAGAAUGGACAAGAGGACACCUUCACUCUCAUAUCAAAACACAGAUAAAAUUAUUACCCAUAUAUUGAUUCUCUUCUUUGUUCUUUAUAGAGACAGGCUGCAUCAAAACUUGGUCUGGCUCCCUGUACAGCAAAGACGCAGGUCAUGAAGAUAAUCUCCAAAUCCAGCAACCCAUAAAGGACAAGUCCCCCGAGCAGGUGUAAAAGUCCACAUACUUGGGCAGCAUUGUGGACACUGUGGCAGGGACAGAGGCUGAACAACGAGCUCCAGAAGAUCACAACACCACUCACAGAGUUUCUACGGGUCCUUGAAAAGUCUUUCUGAAAAAUAUGAGGAAUGAGUGGUUGGCAGAGGACAAAGAGGUGACUUGGCAGGUAUGACAUAAAGCUUUUAGAUACAGGAUAUGUAGUGAAAUAUGCCACACUUGUGCAGUUUGCUCUGUUGUGCAUGAGAAGAAUUAAAUUCUGCAAUUUUUAAACUUAUAUGUCCUAAAUUUGAUUUCAGAAAACACGCAGCAAGUCUAGUUCAAAAGAGGCUGAACUAAGAGGAGACCUGGCAGAAAUGUCCAGAUGAGGACUGAAGUCAGGGGGUGAAGAAGGAGGGACAGCCAGUCACAGAGGAAAACAGAAAACAGUCCUGUGAGCAGCAAAGGACCCAGAGCCAACUAUGUCAAGUCUUAGGAGGAACCAGACCACCCACAGCAAACCCAUGCACGUACAGGGAGAACAUACAGACAGGGCACAGAAAAGUCCCUGUCCAGCCCAGGAUUCAGACCAGGAACCUUCAUGCUGUGAGGCACCAGUGCUAACUUCUGCACCAUCAUGACACCAAGGUAAAACAUACAACUUUUAUUAUUCUUAUCAUCAAAAGUCUGAAAUGUUCAAAUGAUUCCCCUGGUUGUUGAAGGUCUUUACUGUUGUCUUAAUUUAUCUUUAAUUUGUUUUCAUCAGGGAAGAGAAAAUGAGUCCAGAUCAGAGAUGGCCAGAGGAGACAGCGAGAACUUUGAACCAAAAUAAUAGUAA
Molecule: non-coding RNA, 1467 nt
Organism: Xyrichtys novacula (pearly razorfish)
Lineage: Eukaryota; Metazoa; Chordata; Actinopteri; Labriformes; Labridae
Source: the annotation of a GenBank genome assembly